CCGCGUUGGCCGAGGCCAUGCCGCGGCGCAGGUCGCUUUCGUCGACCACGUCGUCGUGCAGCAGGGUGGCGCUGUGGAUGAACUCCACCACCGCCGCC
Molecule: transfer RNA, 98 nt
Filed under: Azospirillum oryzae
Lineage: Bacteria; Pseudomonadati; Pseudomonadota; Alphaproteobacteria; Rhodospirillales; Azospirillaceae
Description: tRNA-Glu
Source: RNAcentral